This 119-nucleotide ribosomal RNA is filed under the name Microcebus murinus (gray mouse lemur). The record is from RNAcentral. Lineage: Eukaryota; Metazoa; Chordata; Mammalia; Primates; Cheirogaleidae.
ACAGAUAGCCACACCACCCUAAACAUGCCUAAUAUUGUCUGACCCCAGAAGCUAAGCAGGGUUGGGCCUGGUUAGUACUUGGAUGGGAGACCACCUGGGAAUACUGGGUACUAUAGGCU